RNAcentral lists this ribosomal RNA (274 nucleotides) under uncultured bacterium. Its description in RNAcentral is "partial 16S ribosomal RNA". It matches the Rfam family "Bacterial small subunit ribosomal RNA", at positions 523 to 796 of the family's 1533-position model. The record is from RNAcentral.
AUACGAGGGGUGCAAGCGUUAUUCGGAAUUACUGGGCGUAAAGGGUGUGUAGGCGGUAUAUUAAGUCUGUUGUUAAAUCUUCCGGCCUAACCGGAAAACUGCAGUGGAAACGGAUAUGCUAGAGGAUGCGAGAGAGAAGUGGAAUUCCCGGAGUAGCGGUAAAAUGCGUGGAUCUCGGGAGGAACACCGAUGGCGAAGGCAGCUUCUUGGCUCAUUCCUGACGCUGAGACACGAAAGCGUGGGGAGCAAACAGAAUUAGAAACCCCAGUAGUCC